Molecule: ribosomal RNA, 463 nt
Filed under: uncultured bacterium
Lineage: Bacteria
Description: bacterial SSU rRNA
Rfam family: Bacterial small subunit ribosomal RNA
Source: RNAcentral
GGGCCCGCACAAGCGGUGGAGCAUGUGGUUUAAUUCGACGCAACGCGCAGAACCUUACCAGGCCUUGACAUCCUGUGCUCGCCGGAGAGAUCCGGUUUCCCCGCAAGGGGCGCAGAGACAGGUGCUGCAUGGCUGUCGUCAGCUCGUGUCGUGAGAUGUUGGGUUAAGUCCCGCAACGAGCGCAACCCUCGCCUUUAGUUGCCAUCAUUCAGUUGGGCACUCUAAAGGGACCGCCGGCGACAAGCCGGAGGAAGGUGGGGAUGACGUCAAGUCCUCAUGGCCCUUACGGCCUGGGCUACACACGUGCUACAAUGGCGGUGACAAUGGGCAGCUAGUCCGCGAGGCCAAGCUAAUCCCAAAAAACCGCCCCAGUUCAGAUUGCACUCUGCAACUCGGGUGCAUGAAGGUGGAAUCGCUAGUAAUCGCAGAACAGCAGGCUGCGGUGAAUACGUUCCCGGGCCUU